UCGACCACGCCAGAAUUCGAACCUGGAAUCUCUAGAGAUUAGGGUAGGGGUAAUGAGAACCGAAAUCUAACGCCUUAGCCAUUAGGCCACGCGGCCA
RNAcentral lists this transfer RNA (97 nucleotides) under Fusarium pseudograminearum CS5834. RNAcentral describes it as "tRNA-Arg". Lineage: Eukaryota; Fungi; Ascomycota; Sordariomycetes; Hypocreales; Nectriaceae. The record is from RNAcentral.